AUCGCUUCUUGGCCUUUUGGCUAAGAUCAAGUGUAGUAUCUGUUCUUAUCAGUUUAAAAAAAUCACUGACCACAAUUGAGCAUGAGUUAUUCCACUGAUGCAAGAGUGGUUUAAUAUUUACAAAUCAAUUAGUGUGGUACCUCAC
This 145-nucleotide small nuclear RNA is filed under the name Panthera leo (lion). RNAcentral's name for it is "U2 spliceosomal RNA (ENSPLOG00000008694.1)". It matches the Rfam family "U2 spliceosomal RNA". From Rfam's summary of the family: U2 is a small nuclear RNA (snRNA) component of the spliceosome (involved in pre-mRNA splicing). Complementary binding between U2 snRNA (in an area lying towards the 5' end but 3' to hairpin I) and the branchpoint sequence (BPS) of the intron results the bulging out of an unpaired adenosine, on the BPS, which initiates a nucleophilic attack at the intronic 5' splice site, thus starting the first of two transesterification reactions that mediate splicing. The record is from Rfam by way of RNAcentral. Lineage: Eukaryota; Metazoa; Chordata; Mammalia; Carnivora; Felidae.